This 349-nucleotide ribosomal RNA is filed under the name Ancylopus bisignatus. RNAcentral describes it as "partial 12S ribosomal RNA". The record is from RNAcentral. Lineage: Eukaryota; Metazoa; Arthropoda; Insecta; Coleoptera; Endomychidae.
UAAGAGGUAAUUAAAAAAUUAGGAUUAUUAAUAGUUAUAUUCUUUAAAAUUAAAGAUUUUGGCGGUAUUUUAGUCUUUUCAGAGGAACCUGUUCUAUAAUUGAUAAUCCACGAUUAAUUUAACUUUUAUUAUUAAUUUGUAUAACGUCGUAGAGGAAUAUCUUAAAAGAGUUAAAUAUUCAAGAUUUAUUAUUAUAAAUUAAAUCAGAUCAUGUUGCAGUUUAUAUAAAAGGAGAAAUGGGUUACAAUAUUAUUAAAUAGACGAAUUAAUUUAUUUAAAAUUAUUAUGAAGGUGGAUUUGAAAGUAAUUAUAUAUAUAUUUAUUUAAUGAUUUAAGCUCUAAAAUAUGU